Molecule: small nucleolar RNA, 2886 nt
Filed under: Drosophila melanogaster (fruit fly)
Lineage: Eukaryota; Metazoa; Arthropoda; Insecta; Diptera; Drosophilidae
Description: UHG5 small nucleolar RNA host gene
Rfam family: Small nucleolar RNA Me28S-Cm3227 (bases 714-795)
Source: RNAcentral
UCUUGGCGAGCUGUGGUGUGUUUGAAAGAAUUCCGUAAAAUGUGUACUCUAAUGCAAGGCCAUGUGGUCUUACAUUUGAAAAGAAAGAAAAGCUAAAAUAUCAAUCUCAUGCAACUGCAAUGAAUGGAUUAAAAGUAAGUGAACAUUAAAAUGCAUGAAUUUAAUAGUUACUUGAUGAUUGUUCUUUUUCUGAAGAGUCGAGUGCCAAGUCGCAAGAUUUGGCAUUCUUUUCCUGUAGAAAGAAUAAGAACGGCCAACUGAUAAACUAAAUUUAACAACUGAAUUGCUUUAAAAUGCAAUUGUGGGAAGCAAAUAACUAAGUUCUCAUUUUUUUUUGUUCUAGAAUGUGAAAAAACACGUGGCGAGCGGUGAAAAGAGAGGGACAGCCGGCAUUGCACGCGAUGGUAUGUAGUCUUCUCUUUCUAACAUACAUUCAUGAAUGAGACUUCUUUGCAUUCAUAAUUGAGAAGUGUUUUUCUGAUGAUAAGUUCAAUCUGAACAAAGUGCUGUUGAUUUACAACUUAAAAUUAAACCAAAAGGAUUCUGAUAAAAUCAUAAAUGUAUAAGUUUUGAAAACAGAAAAUGAGUAUACAUUAACCCUAGUUUUUCGUUUUUAUUUUUAGCUCUGUGAAAAAGAAGCCGCCAUUUUUUGAAGCAUUUUGGAAAAAUGUGAUCGAGGUGAGAUAAAUAUGACUUAAUUGUUUUAAAAAAGAUUGUACCUGAUGAUAAGUUUAAUCUGAACAAAGUGCUGUUGAUUCACAACUUAAAAUUAAACCAAAAGGAUUCUGAAAUCAAUUAAUUAGUAUUUUCUAUGAAUGAAAAUGAAAUUGCAGACCUAACCUAAGAUUUCGUUUCUUUCAGAAUAAUGUGACAAUUUUGUGAAUCUUUCUUUGACGGCAAUUCAUUUUUUUCGAGGUAAUUUAAACUUAAAUUACUAUAUAACACUAAAAUCAGUUUAAUUGAUGAUAAGUAAUUACCGUUUGAUAUCCGUGAUAUUAAACCCCAAGGCUGCUAUUUAAUAGUAACUGAUUCGAUAUUCAAGUAGUAUACAUUUAUUUUAUUGGAACAUAUCACUAAUCAAAAUGUAUAUUUACAGAUUACAUCCAUCAGAUACAUGGAAAAUAAUAAAAUGGAUCAGUCGUGACAUAAGGUAAGAAAACUUGUUUAUUUUGUUUGUAUGUUUUUUUUUUAUUGAUGAAAGUAAUUACCGUACGACUUUUGUGAUUAAAUUUAAAUGGCUGCAAAUUUUGCAACUGAAAUUCAAUAUAAAUAAAAAUUGUAAUUAGUACUUUUUGAUUUGCUAACUCUGGUUUUAUCUUCUUUUGCAGAUUCGAAAGGAUACGUCAUGCUAAAACAAGCUGAAUUCAUUUGUUGGAAGCGCAAUUAAGGUAAGAUUUAAAUGAAAUUUGGUAAUAUGCUGCACAAGUUUAAAUGAUGAAUACCUUUAUCUAUUAACUUUCGUUCUACUGAGUGGUAAAUGCGGAUAUAUUUUUCUGAUUCAUAAAAACCAAGCAGCAUUUUGUAUAUAAAAACCCAUUAGAAGUCAUUAUUAACAAUAACUUUUUUUUACAGACCUGUGCCACUUUCUGUUUAUCGAGGGACUCUUACGGUCAAGAUCGUCCUAAGAUGGUAGGUGUUCUUCAAAGUUUCGCACUCAUUGUUUAUAUGAUGUUACUUCUAGUAUAGUUCAUUAGAAACACACAUGUUACAAACUUUUCGAAGCUGAUAUAGCAUUUCAUUUUCAUUAAUUCAAUGGUUUUUGAUCAUAUUAUUGACAAUGAAUAAUUUUUUGCAUUUUAGAUGUGACCCAGAUGCUUAAUCCAGAUCAUUUGAUGAGAUACUUAAUACUUAAGGUAAGCAGAUAUAGAUAUUGCUUAGAUACGAAUUUCUUUGAUAAGCGUUUCAUAUGAUGAAAUUUUCCUAUCUCAGGAUUCCCUCUUCUGAGUAGAACCCUAAAACAACCGUGCUGUUCACUUUCCCUGUCUGAAAUAAACGCUUUACAAAUGAAAUUGAAUGUUAUAUGCUUUAAAUAUGUAGCAGCUAACCAAACCAAUUUCUCUAAAAUUACAGAUACAUCUUAAAUCUAAAAAACUGGACUUCAGAAGAACUAUAAAGGUAAAUUACCAUUAUUUUUUUGUAGUUAUUUAUUUAGAAUGAUGAUAUUUUCCGUCCGUGGAACUUAUACAAAGUAAAAUCAUGCUGACAUUUUAUGUCUUCUUUCCCCAACUGAUUAUUAACUUCAAAUUUACGCUUGAUGGCACUUAAAUAUCAGGAUGCUAAUUGUUAUUUUAUUUCUGUUGCAGGUUUCGUUUUAAAAUAUCGAUUAAACUGAUUGAUGAAUCAAAACUUCUCGAAUGAAAAGGUAAUUAAAUAAAAAUUGUAAUUCUGUGUUCGAAAUGAUGACAAUACAGUCCGUGGUUUUACACUGAGACAAAGCCAUGCUGUUUGAUAAGUCAUUUUUCCCCAACUGAUACAUUUCAAAUUUGGAAUAUUUUUAACAUUUAUAUUCAUAUUUCUAAUUUCAAUAUUUCUUAUUGCAGACUUCUUCACGCACAAAGGCAAAUGAUCCAUUGAUUUGGUAGUAACUUACGUCUUUUUGAAAAGGUAUAUAAAACUAAAUUUCACAUUAACAUUUAUUUAAAAUGAGGAAAAAAAAGUCCGAUAUUUUUACUGAGCAAAUCCAUGCUGUAUAAGAGAUUUCCCCAACUGAUAAAAUUAUUCAUAUAUCAGACGGAGCGAACCAUAUUUUUGAAUAAAGACUAAUUUGUUUUUAUUUUAUCUUACAGGUUUAUCUACAACCAAUAACUAUCUACAACAAUAACAAACGGAAUAUAUUUUUCUAUAAUAAAAAUGCAAAUAAAUGACUACUGAAUUCAAGUACUAAAA